AGCAACCUGCCCCCUACUUCGGGAUAAGCCUUGGAAACGGGGUCUAAUACCGGAUAUGAAUGCCUGCCGCAUGGUGGGUGUUGGAAAGUUUUUCGGUGGGGGAUGGGCUCGCGGCCUAUCAGCUUGUUGGUGGGGUAAUGGCCUACCAAGGCGUCGACGGGUAGCCGGCCUGAGAGGGCGACCGGCCACACUGGGACUGAGACACGGCCCAGACUCCUACGGGAGGCAGCAGUGGGGAACAUUGCACAAUGGGCGAAAGCCUGAUGCAGCGACGCCACGUGAGGGAUGACGGCCUUCGGGUUGUAAACCUCUUUCAGCAGGGAAGAAGCGGUUGGGUUUUCUCAGUCGUGACGGUACCUGCAGAAGAAGCGCCGGCUAACUACGUGCCAGCAGCCGCGGUAAUACGUAGGGCGCAAGCGUUGUCCGGAAUUAUUGGGCGUAAAGAGCUCGUAGGCGGUCUGUCGCGUCUGUUUAAUACGACUCACUAUAGGGCGAAUUGAAUUUAGCGGCCGCGAAUUCGCCCUUGACUACUGGGGUAUCUAAUCCCAUUAUCACGCGUUACUCACCCGUCCGUGACUACUGGGGUAUCUAAUCCCAUUAGUCUCACGCGUUACCACCCGUCCGUGACUACUGGGGUAUCUAAUCCCAUUAUCACGCGUUACUCACCCGUCCG
This 673-nucleotide ribosomal RNA is filed under the name uncultured Promicromonosporaceae bacterium. RNAcentral describes it as "bacterial SSU rRNA". The stretch from base 1 to 549 matches the Rfam family "Bacterial small subunit ribosomal RNA". The record is from RNAcentral. Lineage: Bacteria; Bacillati; Actinomycetota; Actinomycetes; Micrococcales; Promicromonosporaceae.